Molecule: long non-coding RNA, 5460 nt
Filed under: Salvia miltiorrhiza (redroot sage)
Lineage: Eukaryota; Viridiplantae; Streptophyta; Magnoliopsida; Lamiales; Lamiaceae
Description: long non-coding RNA (SMIL_LNC005082)
Source: RNAcentral
GCAGAUGGUGGAGAUGCACGAGCUCGUGCCGGGGAAGCGCUUCGACCGUUAUCACGAGCUCGGACAGCACGCCUUCGGGCACAAGCUCGGUCUGUGGAUCGUGGUCCCCGUGCAGCUCGUGGUUCUAGCCGGAUUGAACAUAGUUUACCUCAUCACAGGCGGCAAAUCGCUGCAAAAAUUCCACGAUUUGGUUUGCAGACGACCUUGCAAGGAAAUCAAGCUCACUUAUUUCAUACUCAUUUUCUCCUCCGUCCACUUCGCCCUCUCCCAACUCCCCACCUUCAACUCCAUCUCCGGCGUGUCCCUCGCCGCUGCUGUCAUGUCGAUAAGGUGCGUACAUUUAUAAUUAAAUCUAUAUAUAUAUAUAUAAUUAAAGAGAUUUGUUGUUGCAGUUAUUCUACGGUGGCUUGGGCAGCUUCGGUUGAGAAAGGAGUUGUAGCGGGCGUGGAAUAUGGGUAUAAAUCGAGGAGUGAGGCUGGAACGGUGUUCAACUUCUUCAACGCGCUGGGGAGCAUGGCGUUCGCGUAUGGCGGCCACAACGUGGUGAUGGAGAUCCAAGCUACUAUGCCGUCCACGCCGCAUAAGCCUUCCAGGAAACCUAUGUGGAAGGGGGUCGUGGUUGCUUAUGUUAUCGUCGCGCUCUGCUACUUUCCCGUUGCUAUCAUUGGAUUCUGGGUGUUUGGUAAUAAAGUAGACGAAAACAUUCUCAUAACGUUGGACAAACCUAGAUGGCUCAUCGCCAUGGCUAACAUGUUUGUUGUGGUCCAUCUUGUUGGAAGCUAUCAGGUUAAUUAAUUAUCUUUUUUUUUUUUGUUAUAUUCUUUUUCAAGUUGUUGAUUUAGUAUUACAUGAUAUACAUAUGUAGUUGUAUGCAAUGCCGGUUUUUGACAUGAUAGAAGCUGUGCUCACAAAGAAGCUCAAGUUGAAGCCAACUUGGUAUCUGCGAUUUAUUUCAAGGAAUGCUUAUGUUGGUAAGUCUUUUUUUUUUUUUAAACUCCAACAAACCACUCAUUUUAGCUUAAUUGUUAAUUAUUUAAUUGUAUUUUUUUAAAGCUUUCACAACAUUCAUUGCUAUCACAUUCCCUUUCUUCAAUGCGCUCCUUGGAUUUUUCGGAGGAUUUGGGUUCGCGCCAACCACAUAUUUUGUAAGAAACUAAUUCUAUGUAUAUAAAACAAUUCAACACGAAUUAACUGCAGAAAUGUGACACAGAAAAAUUUAAUAUUUGUGCAGCUUCCCUGUAUUAUAUGGCUUAUGGUUCACAAGCCACGGAUGUUGAGCUUUUCUUGGUUGGCCUGCUGGGUAUGCCUAUAUAUAUAUUCAUACCCAGUUUCAUUAAUUAGUACUGCUAAUUAUUUAAUUUCCUGAUUUUUUUUUCUGAUUAUUUUAAUUUGCUUGUGAAUUUUCAGUUUUGCAUAAUAUUUGGUGUCCUCUUGAUGUUUGUUGGACCAAUUGGGGGGCUCAGGCAGAUUAUACUUCAAGCCAAAGAUUAUGAAUUCUACCAGUAAUUAAAGUCUUAAUUGUAAUUUUCUUGAUAGCUAUAUAUGUACUUUCUUUAGGGGAUCUGUAUAUGAAUAUAUCUUUAAUUUAUUGGUUCAAUUUUUUUUUUUCGUUGUAGAGAGUGACAGAAAUUCGAUAUAAUUAACAAAGAUAACUUUGUCGUUAUUAUAUUAAUAUUAGAAUAUUUAAAUAAAGAAUGAGCGUGUACUAGCUCAUGAUCUCAUAUAUAUAAUAAUAUAUACCUCAAAAAAGAAGAAAAAAAAUGAGCUGGGUUUAUUAUUAUAAGUAAUAAGUGGGAAGUCAAAGGUACUUUGCAUAUAUGUCUGCGCCACAUGCACCCGGUUUUAUGACAGCCAUGCGUAGUGAUAAGCAUAUUUAAUGUAUAUUCAAUUGGCAGUUUCAAAUGCUGUAUACAGUUCAAGGUUGACAAAUCAUAGAUAACAUUAAACUAAUGUGAAAAUAAAGUAAGAUCCAAAUCACAAUUACGGUGCAUCUCUUCUGAGUUAUCGGCAUGCUAUCAUAAAAAGUAUUUGAGUUAAUUAGUGCCAUCCAAGUUCUAAUCACCAAAAAGAUGGGUUGAAAUAAUAUUUUCAAAUUAAAGAUCGGACAAGAAAAUUACAUAAAUUUCUAAAUAGCAAUUUUAUUUUUAUUUUUUUCAAAACGAAUAUAACCAAACCAAAUUAAGAGCAUUAAAGACUAUGAAUAGGUUGAAUAUUCUAAUUAGAAUGAGUUGGCAAUGAGGAAAAAUUCUGGGAAAAGUCUGAGAGUAAGUCAAGUGUACGUUAUGUCUGCCAAUCACGUCUCUUAAUUGUGACAUAUGAAAUUGGAAGAUAAUUGAUGUAGAAUUGUAGAUAUAAUGAAAGUUGAUCAGAUUUUAUCAAAUUAAUAUUUGACACAAGAAAAAUUAGAAGAAAUUAUGUGUUGAUAUAAUGAUAGCUAGGAUAAUUAAUGUAUAAAUUACUCCCUCCAAUUUUUUUUAUAAGCCGUCCUUAGCUUUUUCACAGGUUUUAAUAAUAAUUAAAAAAAACCUAAACUAACCUUAUUUAAUGACACAAGACUGCAAAGAAAACUAGGGAGAAGAAACGAGUUUAUUAGAUAAAGCUUUGACUAUAAGUCUAUAAUUAAUGAGAUUAGGGGUAGAGAGGGUAACUAAACGUAAAACGGCUUAUAUUUUGCAAACAAUAUUUUUUAUAAAACGACUUAUAAAAAAGAUUGGAGGGAGUAUUAGAGAUGUCAUGUUCGAAUUCACUGUCACAUAAUUUUUAAAAUAUCGACAAUUUUUAAAUAGUUUUUAUACUUUUAAUGACAAGAGAUCGUGUGUGUGUGUGAGAGGGGGGUGGUUGGAGAAUUAUUAGGGUGAAGAGGGUGAGGAUUGAACCUCGCUUUUUCUCCCUGAGAUGGAUGAAGAAUACCACUAAAUUAUACUCCCUCUGUCCCGCCCAAGAUGCUACAUAUUCUUUUUUGGGCCGUCCCAACGAAGAUGCUACAUUUCUAUAUUUGGCAAAAAUAAGAAAUUUUAAACACUUAAUUAACACUAAUUAAGUAUUUCUUUAUUACAUUUUCUCUCCUACUUUAUCACUUUAUUACCUUCUCUUUCUUACUUUAUCACUUUAUUACUUUCUCUCUCCUACUUUAUCACUUUAUUAUUACACACUUAAAACAUUAAUCUACAAUUCCUUAAAUCCCGUGCCGAAAAACAAAUGUAGCGCCUUGGCCGGGACGGAGGGAGUAUGUUUGUGAUGGAUAGUUUUUAUCUUUUGAAAUUAAAAGUGAGUACAAACCAAUUAAGGCCAUUGAGGUUUGCAAAUUGUCGUUUUGAAUACCACAAAUUUGACUGUCGAGUCGAGUGUCGAUUCUGACAAGUUUUAUAAUUUAGUUAUAUAGGUCCAUCUCGUAUGCGUUUCAAGCCAAGUAAGGCCAAAUUGGGUAUAGUAAUUACUUGCUCUUCUUCGACACGUAUGGUUUGAAUUGGGUUGUGGAUUAUCAUAGAUUUAUAAUUAUCAUAGAUUUAUCAUAGAUUUAUUUGAAGUACUUCAUUAAGAAAUUUACAAAUUACAUAAUUAAAACUCAAAAUAUAAUUUUCUUUUCUUCUCUAAUUUUAGUAUUCAACUUUUAAGUCGUCUUUUGUAAGUCUUCAGAUAAAAAGAUCCAUAUCAAUCACUUUCCUAUUUUUUGCUUGAUCACUAAUUUUAUGUUACAGCCUACAUUCUUUAUAAUCUUCUUUCUUUCUUUCCCACCACAACUCAUAUAAAUACUACUAAAGCAUAAAAUAUUUUAAACAAUAUAUAUAUAUAUAUAUCGAACUCAGGACCAUAAAUCCAUCCAACAUGAUUACGAAUCAACUGUAAAUCUUGAUGAUCUAAGGGCUGAAAAUGAUUCUUAUUUUAUAUCUUAAGAAAUGCUCUUAUUUUAGCCCUUCCCUAUAUAUAUAUAUCCACUUUGGGAAGGACUACCGUGAGAGCAACUCUUAAAAUAAAAAAUAAGAACUAUGAAAAAUGUAUGAAUAUUUUAUGUAAAACACAUAUGAAUUCGUUAUGAAUUGCGAAAAAUAAAUUUUUGCUACCUUUGGUAUUCGAACUCAGGACCAUGAAUUAAUUCAUCCAACAUAAUGAUGAAUCAACCGUAGAUCUUGAUGAUCUAAGAGUUGAAAAUAGUUCUUAUUUUAUAUCUUAAGAAGUGUACUUAUUUUAGUCCUCAUCUAUCCACUUUUAUCAAUAUAAUUUGUUGUUUGGAUUUUGGCCAAUUUCCUUAAAAUUGAAAGUAAAACUUUAAAUCAUGUGAAGACUUACAAAAGACGACUUAAAAUCUCAUCCGAUAUCCAAAUCUCAGUGUUUGGAUUUUGGCCAAUUUCCUUAAAAUUGAAAGUAUAAUUAAUCAAUUAAUUAAGUGGUGGGCCAUAUAGAUAGAACGGAAGUACGGCGUUAGGUAACCAGUUAUUUCUGGGAUGGUUCGACCUCUGAAUAUCACAAAUGAACUCAUUUAACGCCUGCUCAUUUAUUAACUUCCGCAAACAAGAAACACGACCACCGUCCACCAAUCCUAAACCUUUUAUUUACUCUUUUUUUUCCCGAUAUAGCUACAGCAGUCAAUGGAACCUGAGGUUCCAAUUUAUGGCAAGAACAAUUACUACAAUAGUUAUAGUGUAAGUCUCUGCGUGUAUGUGUGUGUGUGAGAGACGAACAAAGCAUGCCUUGAAUGGUGUUUGUAAUUCCUUCAACUAAUUUGAUUGCUAAAAGAAGCGUGUAAAAUUAAUUGCAGUCGGAAGAGCGGAUAGCAGAAGAGAGGGCCAUAGACGACUGGCUUCCAAUCACAUCUUCGCGGACAGCAAGAUGGUGGUUUUCAGCAUUCCACAACGUGACCGCCAUCGUGGGCGCCGGAGUCCUCAGCCUCCCUUACGCCAUGUCCCAACUCGGAUGGUAAAACGCACAUGCAGUUUGACUUUGACCUAAUAUCUGUAGCUAUAUGUAUGGUGACGUGGCGCGGUGUGCAGGGGUCCCGGUGUGUCGUUCCUGGUGCUAUCCUGGGUGGUGACGCUCUACUCGUUGUGGCAGAUGGUGGAGAUGCACGAGCUCGUGCCGGGGAAGCGCUUCGACCGUUAUCACGAGCUCGGACAGCACGCCUUCGGACACAAGCUCGGUCUGUGGAUCGUGGUCCCCGUGCAGCUCGUGGUUCUAGCCGGAUUGAACAUAGUUUACCUCAUCACAGGCGGCACAUCGCUGCAAAAAUUCCACCAUUUGGUUUGCAAAGAUUGCAAGAAAAUCAAGCUCACUUAUUUCAUACUCAUUUUCUCCUCCGUCCACUUCGCCCUCUCCCAACUCCCCACCUUCAACUCCAUCUCCGGCGUGUCCCUCGCCGCUGCUGUCAUGUCGAUAAGGUACGUACAUUUAUAAUUAAAUCUAUAUAAAUAUAAUUAAUUAAAGAGAUUUGUUGUUGCAGUUAUUCUACGGUGGCUUGGGCAGCUU